UAGGGAAUCUUCGGCAAUGGGGGGAACCCUGACCGAGCAACGCCGCGUGAGUGAAGAAGGUUUUCGGAUCGUAAAGCUCUGUUGUUAAGGAAGAACGAGUGUGAGAAUGGAAAGUUCAUGCUGUGACGGUACUUAACCAGAAAGGGACGGCUAACUACGUGCCAGCAGCCGCGGUAAUACGUAGGUCCCGAGCGUUGUCCGGAUUUAUUGGGCGUAAAGCGAGCGCAGGCGGUUAGAAAAGUCUGAAGUGAAAGGCAGUGGCUCAACCAUUGUAGACUUUGGAAACUGUUUAACUUGAGUGCAGAAGGGGAGAGUGGAAUUCCAUGUGUAGCGGUGAAAUGCGUAGAUAUAUGGAGGAACACCGGUGGCGAAAGCGGCUCUCUGGUCUGUAACUGACGCUGAGGCUCGAAAGCGUGGGGAGCGAACAGG
This 429-nucleotide ribosomal RNA is filed under the name Bacteroidota bacterium. RNAcentral describes it as "Bacteroidetes bacterium partial 16S ribosomal RNA". It matches the Rfam family "Bacterial small subunit ribosomal RNA", at positions 355 to 776 of the family's 1533-position model. The record is from RNAcentral. Lineage: Bacteria; Pseudomonadati; Bacteroidota.